UGACGGACUGAAGGAUCUUUCUCGAUUCCGUGGAAAGUGGUGCAUGGCCGUUUUUGGUUGGUGGAUCGAUCCGUCUGGUUAAUUCCGUUAACGAACGAGACCUCGGCACUCCGAAUAGCGCGGCGGACGUCGCGGCCUCCGGGCCGUCUUCCGCGCGAGCUUCUUAGAGGGACCGUCCCCCGCCGGGGAAGGAGUUUCGAGGCAACGACAGGUCUGUGAUGCCCUUAGAUGUUCUGGGCCGCACGCGCAUUACACUGACGCGUCCAACGGGCGACUCCCGGCCCGAAGGGGUCGGGGAAUCCGCAAGGCGCGUCGUGAUGGGGAUUGAACGUUGCAAUUGUUGUUCACGAACGAGGAAUUCCUAGUAGGCGCGGGUCAUCAACCCGCGCCGAUUACGUCCCUG
Molecule: ribosomal RNA, 403 nt
Filed under: uncultured eukaryote
Lineage: Eukaryota
Description: bacterial SSU rRNA
Rfam family: Eukaryotic small subunit ribosomal RNA
Source: RNAcentral